This is a small nucleolar RNA of Scatophagus argus, 99 nucleotides long. RefSeq annotates it as small nucleolar RNA SNORD16. Lineage: Eukaryota; Metazoa; Chordata; Actinopteri; Scatophagidae. The record is from RefSeq and is a predicted model, not a curated record. The transcript has a single exon.
UGCCAUGAUGGUGUAAUUUGCGUCUGAUCCUGUGUACAGUGACAGUUGCCUGCUGUUUCAAGCUGUUACAGGGAACUGAAUUUUAUUAAAUUCUGAGCA